GCUGGGCAUGGUGAUGCAUGCCUGUAAUCCCAGCAGCUAGGAGGCUGAAACAGGAGGAUCAUGAGUUCAAAGCUAGCCCCAGAAACUUACCAAGGCCCUAAGCGACUUAGUGAGACCCUAUCUCAA
This 126-nucleotide small RNA is filed under the name Marmota monax (woodchuck). Lineage: Eukaryota; Metazoa; Chordata; Mammalia; Rodentia; Sciuridae. The record is from RNAcentral.